Molecule: ribosomal RNA, 207 nt
Filed under: uncultured bacterium
Lineage: Bacteria
Description: partial 16S ribosomal RNA
Rfam family: Bacterial small subunit ribosomal RNA
Source: RNAcentral
UGCGUAGGCGGCUUUCUAAGUUGGAUGUGAAAACUCUGGGCUCAACCCAGAGCCUGCAUCCAAAAACUGGAGAGCUAGGGUUCUGGAGGGGAAAGCGGAAUUCCUGGUGUAGCGGUGAAAUGCGUAGAUAUCAGGAGGAACACCGGUGGCGAAGGCGGCUUUCUGGACAGAUACCGACGCUGAGGCACGAAAGCUGGGGAGCAAACA